Molecule: ribosomal RNA, 457 nt
Filed under: uncultured organism
Description: partial 16S ribosomal RNA
Rfam family: Bacterial small subunit ribosomal RNA
Source: RNAcentral
ACUCCUACGGGAGGCAGCAGUGGGGAAUAUUGCACAAUGGGCGCAAGCCUGAUGCAGCGACGCCGCGUGGGGGAUGAAGGCCUUCGGGUUGUAAACUCCUUUCGCUAGGGACGAAGCUUUUUUGUGACGGUACCUAGAUAAGAAGCACCGGCUAACUACGUGCCAGCAGCCGCGGUAAUACGUAGGGUGCGAGCGUUGUCCGGAAUUACUGGGCGUAAAGGGCUCGUAGGUGGUUUGUCGCGUCGUCUGUGAAAUUCUGGGGCUUAACUCCGGGCGUGCAGGCGAUACGGGCAUAACUUGAGUGCUGUAGGGGUAACUGGAAUUCCUGGUGUAGCGGUGAAAUGCGCAGAUAUCAGGAGGAACACCGAUGGCGAAGGCAGGUUACUGGGCAGUUACUGACGCUGAGGAGCGAAAGCAUGGGUAGCGAACAGGGUUAGGUACCCCGGUAGUCCCAUGA